AACUAAAUUAAAGUCAAACCGCAAAAUGCUCAUUAAAUCAGUCACGGUUUACUAGAACUAAUAUAUCUUUUUUUUUGAUAGAUGGAUAACUGUGGUAAUUCUAGAGCUAAUACAUGCAAAAAAGUUUUAUACCAGUGAUGGAUAUAAAACGCUUUUAUUAGAUCAAAACCAAUCGAUCAACUUGUUUGUUUCGUUUGAAUUUUGGUGAUUCUGAAUAACACCGUAGAUCACACAGUCAUUGUACUGGUGACGUAUCUUUCAAAUGCCUGACUUAUCACACUUUCGAUGGUAGAUUCAAUGUCUACCAUGGUUGUAACGGGUGACGGGGAAUCAGGGUUCGAUUCCGGAGAGGGAGCCUGAGAAACAGCUACCACAUCCAAGGAAGGCAGCAGGCACGCAAAUUACCCACUUCCGGCACGGAGAGGUAGUGACAAAAAAUAACGAUACGGGACUCAUCCGAGGCCCCGUAAUCGGAAUGAGUACACUUUAAAUCCUUUAACAAGUACCAAUUGGAGGGCAAGUCUGGUGCCAGCAGCCGCGGUAAUUCCAGCUCCAAUAGCGUAUAUUAAAGUUGUUGCAGUUAAAAAGCUCGUAGUUGGUUCUGUGUACUUCACUGUUGGUUUACCGCCUGUCGGUGUAACUGACAUGUUGUGGGACGUCCUGCCGGUGGUGGUUGCAGACCUUACGGUAUUGUUAACUGCCUUUAAUCUCAUUGCGGUGCUCUUUAUUGAGUGUCGAAAUGGGCCGGCACUUUUACCUUGAACAAAUUAGAGUGCUCAAGGCAAGCUAAAUUCUGCUUGAAUAUUUGUGCAUGGAAUAAUGGAACAGGACCUUGGUUCUAUUUUGUUGGUUUUCUGAAUCCAAGGUAAUGAUCAAUAUGGACGGUCGGGGGCAUUCGUAUUGCGGCGUUAGAGGUGAAAUUCUUGGAUCGUCGCAGACGACGAACUAGAGCGAAAGCAUUUGCCAAGUACGUCUUAAUUGAUCAAGAACGAAAGUUAGAGGUUCGAAGGCGAUCAGAUACCGCCCUAGUUCUAACCAUAAACGAUGUCAGCCAGCGAUCCGUAGAGUUCUUUGAAUGACUCGACGGGCAGCUUCCGGGAAACCAAAGCUUUUGGGUUCCGGGGGAAGUAUGGUUGCAAAGCUGAAACUUAAAGGAAUUGACGGAAGGGCACCACCAGGAGUGGAGCCUGCGGCUUAAUUUGACUCAACACGGGAAACCUCACCAGGCCCAGACAUUAGAAGGAUUG
RNAcentral lists this ribosomal RNA (1247 nucleotides) under Ceratocombus (Xylonannus) sp. CW-2013h. RNAcentral describes it as "SSU rRNA". It matches the Rfam family "Eukaryotic small subunit ribosomal RNA", at positions 68 to 1242 of the family's 1831-position model. Lineage: Eukaryota; Metazoa; Arthropoda; Insecta; Hemiptera; Ceratocombidae. The record is from RNAcentral.